ACUACCGAUUGAAUGGUUUAGUGAGGCCUCCUGACUGGCGCCGAUACUCUGGCAACAGAGCGCCGGAUGCCGGAAAGUUGGUCAAACUUGAUCAUUUAGAGGAAGUAAAAGUCGUAACAAGGUUUCCGUAGGUGAACCUGCGGAAGGAUCAUUACCGAUACCGUCCAAGAAAAAAACAACUCUGCGUUGUUUUUUUGCCCUGUGAACCGUACCCAAUCGUUUAGGGGUCGGCCUGGCCGUUAAAUGGCGAGCGGACGCGACGCGCCAAAGGUGCUCGCGGCCGGCCUCGCCAGCCCCGCCUGUGUGUUUUUUUUUUAACGUACGUGUCUACGGUCUGAUGUUGCGGCCUGAUGAGGGCCGAGAGUUGGAAAUGCGAGAGACAACUUUUGACGGUGGAUCUCUUGGCUCACGCAUCGAUGAAGAACGCAGCCAGCUGCGAUAAGUAGUGUGAACUGCAGAAUUCAGUGAAUCAUCGAAUCUUUGAACGCAAAUGGCGCUCUUGGGUUCUCCCAGGAGCAUGUCUGUCUGAGUGUCGGAUAUCAUCCAUCGCAAGCACGGUGCGCCCGCCCGUGCUSGCGGCGUUGAGGCGUCACGGCCGCCGCACAGUGUCGGCCGUGUCCCUUGAAAGGCAGAGAGACUCGCCGCGGUCCGCGGGUAUCUUGAUUCCCGCGGCGCACCAGCGGAGGCCAAAAGUGUUGGCAGUCCUUCGCGCGCCGUCGGGGCCCCGCCGCGCGAGUCGUCCAGGCGAGACAUCCAUCUAUCUUUCUUGACCUCAGAUCAGGCAAGGCUACCCGCUGAAUUUAAGCAUAUUAAUAAGCGGAGGAAAAGAAACUAACAAGGAUUCCCUCAGUAACGGCGAGUGAAGCGGGAAGAGCUCAAAUUUGAAAUCUCCGGUGCUUGCAUCGGCGAGUUGUAAUUGCGAGAAGCACUUUCUAGGCGGAUCGGCCGUGCCUAAGUUGCUUGGAACAGCAGGUCGCAGAGGGUGACAACCCCGUCUGUGGCUCGGCCGGC
Molecule: ribosomal RNA, 1011 nt
Filed under: Acanthastrea echinata
Lineage: Eukaryota; Metazoa; Cnidaria; Anthozoa; Scleractinia; Lobophylliidae
Description: eukaryotic LSU rRNA
Rfam family: Eukaryotic large subunit ribosomal RNA (bases 768-1011)
Source: RNAcentral